Molecule: ribosomal RNA, 176 nt
Filed under: Clostridium sp. enrichment culture DGGE gel band jl-15d-9
Lineage: Bacteria; Bacillati; Bacillota; Clostridia; Eubacteriales; Clostridiaceae
Description: partial 16S ribosomal RNA
Rfam family: Bacterial small subunit ribosomal RNA
Source: RNAcentral
GACGAUUCCUACGGGAGGCAGCAGUGGGGAAUAUUGCACAAUGGGGGAAACCCUGAUGCAGCAACGCCGCGUGAAUGAUGAAGGUCUUCGGAUCGUAAAGUUCUGUCUUCAGGGACGAUAAUGACGGUACCUGAGGAGGAAGCCACGGCUAACUACGUGCCAGCAGCCGCGGUAAU